Molecule: long non-coding RNA, 115 nt
Organism: Etheostoma spectabile (orangethroat darter)
Lineage: Eukaryota; Metazoa; Chordata; Actinopteri; Perciformes; Percidae
Exons: 3
Source: RefSeq, a predicted model, not a curated record
UUUCCAUUAUGGAAAAAAAAGUCCCUAUGUACCUGCUAACAGGUACUUUUAGUAUCGCCUCCGUCGAGGUCCCAAGCAGGCUGAGGCGACACCAAAAGCUAGACUGGACAAUAUA